This 682-nucleotide ribosomal RNA is filed under the name uncultured bacterium. Its description in RNAcentral is "bacterial SSU rRNA". It matches the Rfam family "Bacterial small subunit ribosomal RNA", at positions 139 to 808 of the family's 1533-position model. The record is from RNAcentral.
UGGGAUAACACCUGGAAACAGAUGCUAAUACCGGAUAACAACACUAGACGCAUGUCUAGAGUUUGAAAGAUGGUUCUGCUAUCACUCUUGGAUGGACCUGCGGUGCAUUAGCUAGUUGGUAAGGUAACGGCUUACCAAGGCAAUGAUGCAUAGCCGAGUUGAGAGACUGAUCGGCCACAUUGGGACUGAGACACGGCCCAAACUCCUACGGGAGGCAGCAGUAGGGAAUCUUCCACAAUGGACGAAAGUCUGAUGGAGCAACGCCGCGUGAGUGAAGAAGGGUUUCGGCUCGUAAAGCUCUGUUGGUAGUGAAGAAAGAUAGAGGUAGUAACUGGCCUUUAUUUGACGGUAAUUACUUAGAAAGUCACGGCUAACUACGUGCCAGCAGCCGCGGUAAUACGUAGGUGGCAAGCGUUGUCCGGAUUUAUUGGGCGUAAAGCGAGUGCAGGCGGUUCAAUAAGUCUGAUGUGAAAGCCUUCGGCUCAACCGGAGAAUUGCAUCAGAAACUGUUGAACUUGAGUGCAGAAGAGGAGAGUGGAACUCCAUGUGUAGCGGUGGAAUGCGUAGAUAUAUGGAAGAACACCAGUGGCGAAGGCGGCUCUCUGGUCUGCAACUGACGCUGAGGCUCGAAAGCAUGGGUAGCGAACAGGAUUAGAUACCCUGGUAGUCCAUGCCGUAAACG